UGCAGUCGAGUGCGCGUGCCGUAGCAAUACGGCAUGGCGCACGGCGCACGGGUGCGUAACACGUGGGCAAUCUGCCCUUCGAUGGGGAAUAACUCCGAGAAACCGAAGCUAAUUCCGCAUAACAUUCCUUGGACUUCGGUUCGAGGACUCAAAGCCGUAAGGCGUCGAAGGAGGAGCCCGCGCCCGAUUAGCUAGUUGGCAGGGUAACGGCCUACCAAGGCUUUGAUCGGUAGCUGGUCUGAGAGGAUGGCCAGCCACACUGGAACUGAGACACGGUCCAGACUCCUACGGGAGGCAGCAGUGGGGAAUCUUGCGCAAUGGGCGAAAGCCUGACGCAGCGACGCCGCGUGGGGGAUGAAGCAUCUCGGUGUGUAAACCCCUUUCGACUGGGACGAAUGCCUCGCAAGAGGAGUGACGGUACCAGUAGAAGAAGCCCCGGCUAACUACGUGCCAGCAGCCGCGGUAAGACGUAGGGGGCCAGCGUUGUUCGGAAUUACUGGGUGUAAAGGGUUCGUAGGCGGUGCGGCAAGUCGGGAGUGAAAUUUCUGGGCUUAACCCAGAAGCUGCUUCCGAAACUGCCGUGCUGGAGUGUGGGAGAGGCGCGUGGAAUUGCAGGUGUAGCGGUGAAAUGCGUAAUAUCUGCAGAACACCCGUGGCGAAAGCGGCGCGCUGACCACAACUGAUGCUGAGAAAAGCUAGGGAGCAAAC
Molecule: ribosomal RNA, 708 nt
Filed under: uncultured bacterium
Lineage: Bacteria
Description: bacterial SSU rRNA
Rfam family: Bacterial small subunit ribosomal RNA
Source: RNAcentral